Molecule: ribosomal RNA, 903 nt
Filed under: Janibacter sp. KB5.1F30
Lineage: Bacteria; Bacillati; Actinomycetota; Actinomycetes; Micrococcales; Intrasporangiaceae
Description: bacterial SSU rRNA
Rfam family: Bacterial small subunit ribosomal RNA
Source: RNAcentral
CAGCUGUUAGGCGGUUUGUCGCGUCUGCUGUGAAAAUCCGGGGCUCAACCCCGGACUUGCAGUGGGUACGGGCAGACUAGAGUAUGGUAGGGGAGACUGGAUUCCUGGUGUAGCGGUGAAAUGCGCAGAUAUCAGGAGGAACACCGAUGGCGAAGGCAGGUCUCUGGGCCAUUACUGACGCUGAGAAGCGAAAGCAUGGGGAGCGAACAGGAUUAGAUACCCUGGUAGUACAUGCCGUAAACGUUGGGCGCUAGGUGUGGGACUCAUUCCACGAGUUCCGUGCCGCAGCUAACGCAUUAAGCGCCCCGCCUGGGGAGUACGGCCGCAAGGCUAAAACUCAAAGGAAUUGACGGGGGCCCGCACAAGCGGCGGAGCAUGCGGAUUAAUUCGAUGCAACGCGAAGAACCUUACCAAGGCUUGACAUAUACCGGAAACACCUAGAGAUAGGUGCCCCUUUUGGUCGGUAUACAGGUGGUGCAUGGUUGUCGUCAGCUCGUGUCGUGAGAUGUUGGGUUAAGUCCCGCAACGAGCGCAACCCUCGUUCUAUGUUGCCAGCACGUAAAGGUGGGGACUCAUAGGAGACUGCCGGGGUCAACUCGGAGGAAGGUGGGGAUGACGUCAAAUCAUCAUGCCCCUUAUGUCUUGGGCUUCACGCAUGCUACAAUGGCCGGUACAAAGGGCUGCGAUACCGUAAGGUGGAGCGAAUCCCAAAAAACCGGUCUCAGUUCGGAUUGGGGUCUGCAACUCGACCCCAUGAAGUCGGAGUCGCUAGUAAUCGCAGAUCAGCAACGCUGCGGUGAAUACGUUCCCGGGCCUUAACAAGCCGCUUCAUCUACGGUAACUCCUAUACAGCAAGUCGCACAACAUAGCAGGUAACAAGGUAGCCCGGACUACGGGUUCCCG